GAUGAACGCUGGCGGCGUGCCUCAAACAUGCAAGUCGAGCGGGGCUAUGUAAUAUCGCAAGGUAGAACAUAGCCUAGCGGCGAACGGGUGAGUAACACGUGGGUAACCUGCCUGGAAGACAGGGAUAACGAUUCGAAAGGGUCGCUAAUACCUGAUAAUAUCCUUUCAUCGCAUGGUGAUAGGAAGAAAGGGGAAACCCGCUUUCAGAUGGGCCCGCGUCCCAUCAGCUAGUUGGUAAGGUAAAGGCUUACCAAGGCGACGACGGGUAGCCGGUCUGAGAGGAUGUACGGCCACACUGGGACUGAGACACGGCCCAGACUCCGUACGGGGGGCAGCAGUAGGGUAAUUUUCGGCAAUGGGCGAAAGCCUGACCGAGCGACGCCGCGUGAGGGACGAAGGCCGUUCGGGUUAGUAAACCUCUGUCUGGGGGGAUGAGAACGGACGGUACCCCCGGAGGAAGCCCCGGCUAACUACGUG
This 477-nucleotide ribosomal RNA is filed under the name uncultured bacterium. RNAcentral's name for it is "bacterial SSU rRNA". It matches the Rfam family "Bacterial small subunit ribosomal RNA", at positions 28 to 507 of the family's 1533-position model. The record is from RNAcentral.